AUGCUCAUAGAGCUGGCCCUGCUGGAGUCCAAUGCGGUGCUCGCCUGGUUCGAUCGCGACUGCCAGGCGUCCACAUCCGAGGUGGCGGCGGCCCUUGCUGCCAAGAUUGGCGCGCUGAAGGACGAUGUCGUCGUGGUCCACCACUACCCCGAGCGCUUCCUGGUCCGUUUCGUUCAUCGCCAUCAUGCUGAGCUCGCCGCUGGCCGCCACGACAUCCCUUUCGGCAACACCAAGCUUCAACUUCGGGCGUGGCGCAUGGAGAAGCACGCAGAGCACGUCGACAUGGGCCACCAUGUUCGGCUCUGCCUUGAGGGGCUCCCGCUCUACGCCUGGGAUGAGAAGGCUGUCGCCAACGCCAUCGGCUCCGGCUGUUCGCUCGACUACAUCGAGCCCGCGUCCAAGUUGAAGACCGCGACCAAGGUGCUGGCCCUCUGGGCAUGGACGCCCUGUCCUAGUAAGGUGCCGAGGCUGAGAUGGAUCACCCUGCCGGCGCGUACUGACGGUGCGCCGGUGUACGGCCGCAAGGGGCUUGAGCACCGGGUGCUGGUUCAUCUGGACAUCCAUGAAGACCCAACCUCUGGCAAAAUUGUCUCCAGGCCAAACGUUUGGCGCUACAAUGUGGUUGACGGCGAGUCCAGGGCGAGGGACAGGCGCGAGAGGAUCUCCAGGCCCGUGCGCCACGAGCGGCGCGACCGUGAUGACGAGGAGGACCGCGACCGCGGCCGCGGUCGCGACGGGCGGGACGCGUCCAGGGGCAACCAAGGCUGGGGCGCCCGCAUUCGCCGGAGCCUCUCUCGCGCGCCUCGCGACGGCCACCGCGAUGGUCGUCGUGGCACUCGUGAUGGUCGACGGCGCACCUCCUCUCCUCUGCCGGUUGCCGUCCCUUCAUCGUCGCCACCGCUGUUGGGCUCCGGCUCCAUGAGCGUGCCUGCGGUGCAAGCAAUUGAGCUCCUGCCCAUCCCGCAUGCUCAGUUGCCAUCGGGGGCUCUCCCUGCUGCGGAUGCUGGGCUCCGUGGCCGCAGCCCAGUAAGGAGGGCGCGCCCGGAGUCUGCUAGGCGCCAGUCCAGGGAAGCUCUGACUCCUCCAGCCUCGCCACCCCAUUCGCCAACCACGGUGCUUCGAGCCCCCAGGAGCUCCAAGCGUGAUGCGGCGCGUGUUGCCGCUACGCUCGGCCAGGAGAGAAGCCCAGCGCUCAUUGAGCUCUGCUCCCCGACGACCAUGUUGCGCCCCCUCAUCUCCACCUCUCCGGUGCGCCCACCUGGCUUCGAGGCCUCCCCAACGCCGCCACUCCUCAACAGAGGCGCUCUGCAUUGCACGCCCACCUCCCCUCGGGCUCGGCUGCAUGCGGCUGAUGACGCUUUGCCAGCAGGGCUUGCGGCGCUGGUUGUGCCCCGACCCUCAUUGGACCUCCCUGACCAGCUCUUCUGUGUGCGCCAGCCUGCGGUGCUGCCUACCCCGGUGCCCCAGCCACCGCUGUCGUCCCCUACAAAGAGACAGGCAGCGCGAAGGAAGACCUUGGCGGGCGUAAAGAUCUCAACUGCCGGAGGCCUCUCUCUGCAGCGUGUGCGCCGGGCUCCAAUGCGUGCUCCUGAUGUGCCAGCGGCCAAGAAGGCUGAGAGCCUCAUUUUCCGCAGCCUGGGCAUUACUAGAGAUGGGCAGGAUGUCACUGAAGACACUCUGAAGGCAUUCACGGACAAGUUCAAGCAGCACCUUCCUGAUGAAGUGAUUAUAGCCAUGAGAGAUUUUUUUGAGCUCGACAACCCUACAGUCAAUGUAGUUGAGGACGCGCUGAUUGGCCAUGGGGGAGAGGGGGUGCUUGACCAAGUUGCUGGUGCGACUGGACUGCAAGAUGGAGGAGGGCAAGACGUUAUGGCGUGA
This 1878-nucleotide ribosomal RNA is filed under the name Triticum aestivum (bread wheat). RNAcentral's name for it is "partial small subunit ribosomal RNA". Lineage: Eukaryota; Viridiplantae; Streptophyta; Magnoliopsida; Poales; Poaceae. The record is from RNAcentral.